This 989-nucleotide long non-coding RNA is filed under the name Phoenix dactylifera (date palm). RNAcentral describes it as "long non-coding RNA (PDAC_LNC004586)". The record is from RNAcentral. Lineage: Eukaryota; Viridiplantae; Streptophyta; Magnoliopsida; Arecales; Arecaceae.
GGGUCAGGAGAAAGGGUGUGGUUGAGCUAGUUACAGGGUGCUUGAAGGCAUUCAAUAACCGGUGACGUCAAGAGUAUAGAUCUUAGCUUACACGAACAGUUGCGGUCAUUUGAUACCUAAGUUGUGUACUCUGUUCUGCAAGCCAGUCUAGCACUCUAUAGGCAGGACUCUCACAUGAGCAGUACAAAGACGUUCUAAGAACUAAAGGAAGAACUACUUAUUCUCUUCAAAAGCUGUCACUAAAUAUGAAGGUGUCCAAAUUUUUGUUGGUUUAGGAUUUAAUUUGCUAAUAUAAGUUCAUCCUUUGCCUCAGAAAUGAGAACACUCCUAGCUUGCUGCAGGUCUGACAAAUAAAGCUGAAUAUAGGCCUCUCAUGUUCAACUGACAUUGUCCGACUAGUUGCUGAUGCCAUCAACAUAGAAGGAAUGCGUGAAUUUCCUAUAGAGGAAUGAACAUGCGGCUGUAGCCCUCUUUGGUAGCUAAUGUCAUGAUUGCAGCCUUCUUCAUUCUUCCAUUUGUUGAGCCAACUCUUCCUAAUGUCUCAGAAAUCUGUCUCUUUUUGUGCUUCUGCUUUGAAUGUCUUUGAUUCUACAUUUCCCUUUCUUCAUGUCCUAGGGUGAUCACAUAUUUUCUGUUACCCAAUUCAUGGUCUCGCCGUUUUUUGUUUUUGGGUUUGAGGGCUGUGGAAUGAAAAAGAACAAGAAUAAAUCGUUUACAUCAUCAAACUCAUCACAUUAUCAAUUUUGGGCACUUAAUAUGAUAUUAUGUGAACACAUUCCCCUCUUAUAACAAGCACAAAUAAGCUAUAGAAGCUGUUCUUAAACAUGAACAUGAAUUCUGGCCAAGUAUUCCACAUCCCCGUCUUCCCUUGAAAUGAGCUUUGAGACACAUGCCCUUAUAACAUUGUUCCUUGUUUGGCUUGACUGAAGUUUGACUGCAGUAUGGCAUACCUAUGUGGUUGCUAUCUUGCUAUUAUAUAAUACACCUCA